GACGAACGCUGGCGGCGUGCCUAACACAUGCAAGUCGAACGGGACCGGGGGCAACUCCGGUUCAGUGGCGAACGGGUGCGUAACGCGUGAGGAACUUGUCUUUCGGCGGGGGAUAGCCGGCCCAACGGCCGGGCAAUACCGCGUACGCUCUUCGGGGGGCAUCUCCUGGAGAGGAAAGCAGCAAUGCACCGAAAGAGAGUCUCGCGGCCUAUCAGCUAGUUGGUGAGGUCAUGGCUCACCAAGGCGACGACGGGUAGCUGGUCUGAGAGGAUGGCCAGCCACAUUGGGACUGAGACACGGCCCAGACUCCUACGGGAGGCAGCAGUGGGGAAUCUUGCGCAAUGGGCGAAAGCCUGACGCAGCGACGCCGCGUGUGGGAUGACGGCCU
This 388-nucleotide ribosomal RNA is filed under the name uncultured bacterium. RNAcentral's name for it is "bacterial SSU rRNA". It matches the Rfam family "Bacterial small subunit ribosomal RNA", at positions 28 to 417 of the family's 1533-position model. The record is from RNAcentral.